This 222-nucleotide ribosomal RNA is filed under the name uncultured bacterium. RNAcentral's name for it is "partial 16S ribosomal RNA". The record is from RNAcentral.
UUUUGAGAAAUUGGCACCAUCUCGCCUUUUCGUCCCCCUGUCACCGCCCCUUUGAAACAUGUGUAUACCCCCGGACAAAAGGCCCAAGAACAUUUGACCUCCCCCCACUUUUCCCCGCUUUUCACAAAGGCAUCCUGUAAAAAGUCCAAAUCUUUACAUGCUGGUACAAAAAAGGGUGGUCGCGCUGGUUGAAUUAUUUAAAAUCUCCCUACCCAAACUGAA